CUGACACAGGGAGGUAGUGACAAUAAAUAACAAUGCCGGGCUCAUAUGAGUCUGGCAAUUGGAAUGAGAACAAUUUAAAUCCCUUAUCGAGGAUCAAUUGGAGGGCAAGUCUGGUGCCAGCAGCCGCGGUAAUUCCAGCUCCAAUAGCGUAUAUUAAAGUUGUUGCAGUUAAAAAGCUCGUAGUUGGAUUUCUAACGGAUGCGACUGGUCUGCCCCGCGAGGGGUUUGCACUGAGUUCGUCGUCUGUUAUCCUUGGAGAGAGCGGCUCUGGCAUUCAGUUGUCGGGGUCGGGAUCCCCAUCGUUUACUGUGAAAAAUUUGAGUGUUCAAAGCAAGCUUAGGCUCUGAAUAUAUUAGCAUGGAAUAAUAAGAUAGGACCUUGGUGGUUUAUUUUGUUGGUUUGCACGCCGAGGUAAUGAUUAAUAGGGAUAGUUGGGGGUAUUCGUAUUCAAUUGUCAGAGGUGAAAUUCUUGGAUUUAUGGAAGACGAACUACUGCG
This 497-nucleotide ribosomal RNA is filed under the name uncultured stramenopile. RNAcentral describes it as "SSU rRNA". It matches the Rfam family "Eukaryotic small subunit ribosomal RNA", at positions 451 to 947 of the family's 1831-position model. The record is from RNAcentral.